GUGAAGCAAAAAUCACGUGCUUACAAUAAUUACAAUUUAUAUCUUUUGUGUAAGCUUAUAAUGUUUUGUUUAUUAGCUAUGAAUUAGUUUCAAAUGACUAGUGUUUCAAUUGAUUAUUUAACAUUGUAUUUUAUAGAAACCUAGGGUUUAAGUUGUAUUUAUCAUUAUUUAACAUUUUAUAAAAAUCUAGGAUUUAUAGAAAUCUAGGAUAUAAAUCGAAACUUUUAGGAUAUGAGUUGAAUUUUUAGAAUAUGAAUUGAAACUUUUAGGAUAUGAGUUGAAUUUUUAGGAUAUAAAUAGAAAUUUUAGGAUAUGACUUGAACUUUUGUGGAUAUGAAUUGAACCUUUAGGAUAUAAAUUGAACAUUUAGUUUAUGUUUAAACGCGUAGGAUAAGAAUUGAUGAACUUUUAGUUUUUAGGUUUUGUUCUUGUGAAUUGAACUUGUACGAUAUAAAUUGAAGCUUUUAUGUACGACUUGAACUUUUUACGAUAUGAGUUGAAACUUUUAGGAUAUGAGUUGAACUUUUAGGAAAUAAAUUGAACCUUUAGGAUAUGUAUUGAGCCUUUAGGAUAUGACUUGAAGUUUUAGUUUAUGUUUAAACUCGUAAGAUAUGAAUAUAACUUUUAGUUUUUAGGUUUUGUUCUUGUGAAUUGAACUUGUAGGAUAUAAAUUGAAGCUUUUAUGUAUGACUUGAACUUUUUAGGAUAUGAGUUGAACUUUUAGGAAAUAAAUUGAACCUUUAGCAUAUGUAUUGAACCUUUAGGAUAUGACUUGAACUUUUAGUUUAUGUUUAAACUCGUAGGAUAUGAAUAUAACUUUUAGUUUUUAGGUUUUGUUCUUGUAAAUUGAACUUGUAGGAUAUAAAUUGAAACUUUUAGGAUAUGAGUUGAAUUUUUAGGAUACAAAUAGAAUUUUUAGGAUAUGACUUGAACUUUUGUGGAUAUGAAUUAAUCCUUUAGGAUAUAAAUUGAACUUUUAGUUUAUGUUUAAACUCGUAGGAUAAGAAUUGAUGAACUUUUAAUUUUUAGGUUUUGUUCUUGUGAAUUGAACUUGUACGAUAUAAAUUGAAGCUUUUAUGUAUGACUUGAACUUUUUAAGAUAUGAGUUGAAACUUUUAGGAUAUGAGUUGAACUUUUGGGAAAUAAAUUGAACCUUUAGGAUAUGUAUUGAACCUUUAGGAUAUGACUUGAAAUUUUAGUUUAUGCUUAAACUCGUAAGAUAUGAAUAUAACUUUUAGUUUUUAGGUUUUGUUCUUGUGAAUUAAACUUGUAGGAUACAAAUUG
RNAcentral lists this long non-coding RNA (1284 nucleotides) under Nicotiana tabacum (common tobacco). RNAcentral describes it as "long non-coding RNA (NTAB_LNC012461)". The record is from RNAcentral. Lineage: Eukaryota; Viridiplantae; Streptophyta; Magnoliopsida; Solanales; Solanaceae.